This 2923-nucleotide ribosomal RNA is filed under the name Klebsiella pneumoniae. RNAcentral's name for it is "bacterial LSU rRNA". It matches the Rfam family "Bacterial large subunit ribosomal RNA". The record is from RNAcentral. Lineage: Bacteria; Pseudomonadati; Pseudomonadota; Gammaproteobacteria; Enterobacterales; Enterobacteriaceae. RNAcentral also lists the same sequence under 1 other name.
GGGUUGUGAGGUUAAGCGACUAAGCGUACACGGUGGAUGCCCUGGCAGUCAGAGGCGAUGAAGGACGUGCUAAUCUGCGAAAAGCGUCGGUAAGGUGAUAUGAACCGUUAUAGCCGGCGAUGUCCGAAUGGGGAAACCCAGUGCAAUUCGUUGCACUAUCGUUAACUGAAUACAUAGGUUAACGAGGCGAACCGGGGGAACUGAAACAUCUAAGUACCCCGAGGAAAAGAAAUCAACCGAGAUUCCCCCAGUAGCGGCGAGCGAACGGGGAGCAGCCCAGAGUCUGAAUCAGCUUGUGUGUUAGUGGAACGGUCUGGAAAGUCCGACGGUACAGGGUGAUAGUCCCGUACACCAAAAUGCACAGGCUGUGAACUCGAAGAGUAGGGCGGGACACGUGGUAUCCUGUCUGAAUAUGGGGGGACCAUCCUCCAAGGCUAAAUACUCCUGACUGACCGAUAGUGAACCAGUACCGUGAGGGAAAGGCGAAAAGAACCCCGGCGAGGGGAGUGAAAAAGAACCUGAAACCGUGUACGUACAAGCAGUGGGAGCACCUUCGGGUGUGACUGCGUACCUUUUGUAUAAUGGGUCAGCGACUUAUAUUCUGUAGCAAGGUUAACCGUAUAGGGGAGCCGCAGGGAAACCGAGUCUUAACUGGGCGUUAAGUUGCAGGGUAUAGACCCGAAACCCGGUGAUCUAGCCAUGGGCAGGUUGAAGGUUGGGUAACACUAACUGGAGGACCGAACCGACUAAUGUUGAAAAAUUAGCGGAUGACUUGUGGCUGGGGGUGAAAGGCCAAUCAAACCGGGAGAUAGCUGGUUCUCCCCGAAAGCUAUUUAGGUAGCGCCUCGUGAAUUCAUCUUCGGGGGUAGAGCACUGUUUCGGCUAGGGGGUCAUCCCGACUUACCAACCCGAUGCAAACUACGAAUACCGAAGAAUGUUAUCACGGGAGACACACGGCGGGUGCUAACGUCCGUCGUGAAGAGGGAAACAACCCAGACCGCCAGCUAAGGUCCCAAAGUCAUGGUUAAGUGGGAAACGAUGUGGGAAGGCACAGACAGCCAGGAUGUUGGCUUAGAAGCAGCCAUCAUUUAAAGAAAGCGUAAUAGCUCACUGGUCGAGUCGGCCUGCGCGGAAGAUGUAACGGGGCUAAACCAUGCACCGAAGCUGCGGCAGCGACACUAUGUGUUGUUGGGUAGGGGAGCGUUCUGUAAGCCUGCGAAGGUGUGCUGUGAGGCAUGCUGGAGGUAUCAGAAGUGCGAAUGCUGACAUAAGUAACGAUAAAGCGGGUGAAAAGCCCGCUCGCCGGAAGACCAAGGGUUCCUGUCCAACGUUAAUCGGGGCAGGGUGAGUCGACCCCUAAGGCGAGGCCGAAAGGCGUAGUCGAUGGGAAACAGGUUAAUAUUCCUGUACUUGGUGUUACUGCGAAGGGGGGACGGAGAAGGCUAUGUUAGCCGGGCGACGGUUGUCCCGGUUUAAGCAUGUAGGCUGAUUGUCCAGGCAAAUCCGGAUAAUCAAGGCUGAGGUGUGAUGACGAGGCACUACGGUGCUGAAGUAACAAAUGCCCUGCUUCCAGGAAAAGCCUCUAAGCAUCAGGUAACAUUAAAUCGUACCCCAAACCGACACAGGUGGUCAGGUAGAGAAUACCAAGGCGCUUGAGAGAACUCGGGUGAAGGAACUAGGCAAAAUGGUGCCGUAACUUCGGGAGAAGGCACGCUGGUGUGUAGGUGAAGUCCCUGCGGAUGGAGCUGAGACCAGUCGAAGAUACCAGCUGGCUGCAACUGUUUAUUAAAAACACAGCACUGUGCAAACACGAAAGUGGACGUAUACGGUGUGACGCCUGCCCGGUGCCGGAAGGUUAAUUGAUGGGGUUAUCCGUAAGGAGAAGCUCUUGAUCGAAGCCCCGGUAAACGGCGGCCGUAACUAUAACGGUCCUAAGGUAGCGAAAUUCCUUGUCGGGUAAGUUCCGACCUGCACGAAUGGCGUAAUGAUGGCCAGGCUGUCUCCACCCGAGACUCAGUGAAAUUGAACUCGCUGUGAAGAUGCAGUGUACCCGCGGCAAGACGGAAAGACCCCGUGAACCUUUACUAUAGCUUGACACUGAACAUUGAGCCUUGAUGUGUAGGAUAGGUGGGAGGCUUUGAAGCGUGGACGCCAGUCUGCGUGGAGCCAACCUUGAAAUACCACCCUUUAAUGUUUGAUGUUCUAACGUUGGCCCCUUACCGGGGUUGCGGACAGUGUCUGGUGGGUAGUUUGACUGGGGCGGUCUCCUCCCAAAGCGUAACGGAGGAGCACGAAGGUUAGCUAAUCCUGGUCGGACAUCAGGAGGUUAGUGCAAUGGCAUAAGCUAGCUUGACUGCGAGCGUGACGGCGCGAGCAGGUGCGAAAGCAGGUCAUAGUGAUCCGGUGGUUCUGAAUGGAAGGGCCAUCGCUCAACGGAUAAAAGGUACUCCGGGGAUAACAGGCUGAUACCGCCCAAGAGUUCAUAUCGACGGCGGUGUUUGGCACCUCGAUGUCGGCUCAUCACAUCCUGGGGCUGAAGUAGGUCCCAAGGGUAUGGCUGUUCGCCAUUUAAAGUGGUACGCGAGCUGGGUUUAGAACGUCGUGAGACAGUUCGGUCCCUAUCUGCCGUGGGCGCUGGAGAAUUGAGGGGGGCUGCUCCUAGUACGAGAGGACCGGAGUGGACGCAUCACUGGUGUUCGGGUUGUCAUGCCAAUGGCACUGCCCGGUAGCUAAAUGCGGAAGAGAUAAGUGCUGAAAGCAUCUAAGCACGAAACUUGCCCCGAGAUGAGUUCUCCCUGAGACUUUAAGUCUCCUGAAGGAACGUUAAAGACGAUGACGUUGAUAGGCCGGGUGUGUAAGCGCAGCGAUGCGUUGAGCUAACCGGUACUAAUGAACCGUGAGGCUUAACCUUACAACGCCGAAG